This is a long non-coding RNA of Oryzias melastigma (Indian medaka), 642 nucleotides long. RefSeq lists it as uncharacterized. The record is from RefSeq and is a predicted model, not a curated record. Lineage: Eukaryota; Metazoa; Chordata; Actinopteri; Beloniformes; Adrianichthyidae. The transcript is spliced from 2 exons.
CCAAAAUACAAACGUCAGUAAUCUUGCUAGCAGAAGGCUGCACAGCUGCUUCCUUAGAUCCCUAUGGACAAAUUAAACAAUUCGUGGAUCGUUUUACACCCCUGUCGAAGUUAUACGAAGAUCGCAAGUACUUCAUUGAAUCCUAUUUGUUAAAUUAUGAAGAAGUGAUUUGUUCAUUUAGUUGCGUUUACCUGCGUGGCAACAAAGUAAUGGUGCGGGUUCGAGUCCUCCAGCAUGGACAGCAGGCACUCUGAGGCGGGGACGGGGUCCUUGAAGUGAGCACAUUUCCUCAGCUGGAACCUCUGCAGUAUAAUUUUAGCUCCGUAAAGCUCCUUUCCUAGAGAGUCGAGUUCCUUCAGGGCGCAGCUGCGAGUGAAACCGAAUAAAAACGGAUCAAGAACAGGACCCUGAACACAACACGAGAGCGUUCAAUCAUCUACUUACUUUGUGGUACACAGCUGCACCUCACCCAUGAGAUAUUUCGGCAUUUGCUCUUUAAUUUGAAUUUUAUUCUUCAACGCCGCCUGACAAAAAGUCCCAUCGAUGAGAAUCUGAAAAGGUUCCCUGAAAUUGAAGUUAUAUUUGUAGAAGCUAAUCGUUUUCUUGGCUUGUUUCUGUCGUUUGAUCUUCAUGCUCCGUUUU